GCCUGGGUGGCUCAGUCGGUUGAGCGCCCGACUUCGGCUCAGGUCAUGAUCUCACGGUUCGUGGGUUCGAACCCCGCGUCGGGCU
Transfer RNA from Felis catus (domestic cat), 85 nucleotides. It matches the Rfam family "tRNA". From Rfam's summary of the family: Transfer RNA (tRNA) molecules are approximately 80 nucleotides in length. Their secondary structure includes four short double-helical elements and three loops (D, anti-codon, and T loops). The record is from Rfam. Lineage: Eukaryota; Metazoa; Chordata; Mammalia; Carnivora; Felidae.